Molecule: ribosomal RNA, 497 nt
Filed under: uncultured bacterium
Lineage: Bacteria
Description: partial 16S ribosomal RNA
Rfam family: Bacterial small subunit ribosomal RNA
Source: RNAcentral
GACGAACGCUGGCGGCGUGCCUAAUACAUGCAAGUCGAGCGAACAGACGAGGAGUUUGCUCCUCUGACGUUAGCGGCGGACGUGUGAGUAACACGUGUAUAACCUACCUAUCAGACUGGGAUAAUUUCGGGAAACCGGAUCUAAUACCGGAUAAUCUAUUGCACCGCAUUGUUCAAUAGUUAAAUACGGUUUUGCUGUCACUUAUAGCUUGAUCCGCGCCGCAUUAGCUGGUUGGUAAGGUAACGGCUUAUCACGGCGACGAUGCGUAGCCGACCUGAGAGAGUGGUCGGCGGCCUGGGAGCUGAGACACAGACAAGACUCCUGCGAGAGGCAGCAGAAGGGAAUGUUACGCAAUGGGGGAGAGCCUGACAGAGCAAGGCGGCGUGAGUGAUGAAGGUCUCAGGAGCGGAAAACUCUGUUAUGAGGGAAGAACAAAUGUGUAAGGAACUGUGCACGGAUUGACGGUACCGGGUCAGAAAGCCACGGCUAACUACGUG